This is a long non-coding RNA of Mauremys reevesii (Reeves's turtle), 457 nucleotides long. RefSeq lists it as uncharacterized. The record is from RefSeq and is a predicted model, not a curated record. The transcript is spliced from 3 exons. Lineage: Eukaryota; Metazoa; Chordata; Testudines; Geoemydidae.
CAUGCUUCAUCCACUGUGAUCUCACAUUAACCAUACAUGCAAGGUCACGUUGUGCAGAGCAAAAUGACAUCCUCCAUACGUUAGGGUUCGCUGAGACCUCAUCUGCUAAUGGCCUGACCCUAUUUGGGGCUACACUCCAGUUUGGGAAUUGCUGCUCUGUAGACAACUGCAGACUUGGAUGAAGCUGCUGGGCCUGCUAACCAGACGCCAAAAGGAUCCUUUUGGCUUUUUACAAAACGAGACAUUAGAAAAAUACCAAAAAAGUGUAAACUUCCUUCUAGGUGAGGCAGCUCUGGGUUGGUCUGGAUGGAGGGGCAUGCCAUUGCCAGCAGAUGCCCUUUUAUGUCUGUUGGCUAAGGAAGGGCCACAUGAAUGGAUCAGUCUAUUAAUGAUGCCACCAUAUUUGCAUUCAGUUUUACACAGAAACUUAGCUGUAUCAAUGGAUUUUUUUAUGUAA